This 440-nucleotide ribosomal RNA is filed under the name uncultured bacterium. RNAcentral's name for it is "partial 16S ribosomal RNA". It matches the Rfam family "Bacterial small subunit ribosomal RNA", at positions 338 to 795 of the family's 1533-position model. The record is from RNAcentral.
CCUACGGGAGGCAGCAGUGGGGAAUAUUGCACAAUGGGGGAAACCCUGAUGCAGCGACGCCGCGUGAGUGAAGAAGUAUCUCGGUACGUAAAGCUCUAUCAGCCGGGAAGAAAAUGACGGUACCUGUCUAAGAAGCACCGGCUAAUUCCGUGCCAGCAGCCGCGGUAAUACGUAGGGGGCAAGCGUUAUCCGGAUGUACUGGGUGUAAAGGGAGCGUAGACGGCAGCACAAGUCUGGAGUGAAAUCCCGGGGCUUAACCCCGGAACUGCUUUGGAUACUGUGCGGCUGGAGUGCAGGAGGGGUAAGCGGAAUUCCAAGUGUAGCGGUGAAAUGCGUAGAGAUUAGGAGGAACACCGGUGGCGAAGGCGGCUUACUGGACUGUAACUGACGUUGAGGCUCGAAAGCGUGGGGAGCAAACAGGAUUAGAUACCCGGGUAGUC